GAUGUCGAUAUUCGACGUCAUAAACACGAACAACUUUGAUGUUUACGACGUCGAUAUACAACGUCAUAAACACGAUCAACUUUGGUGUUUAUGACGACGAAAUUCGACGUCGAUAUACGACGUCAUCAACACGAUCAACUUUGAUGUUUAUGAUGUCGAUAUUCGACGUCAUAAACACGAUCAACUUUGGUGUUUAUGACGUCGAUAUUGGACGACAUAAACACGAUCAACUUUGAUGUUUACGACGUCGAUAUACGACGUCAUAAACACGAUCAACUUUGGUGUUAAUGACGUUGAUAUUCGACAUC
Molecule: microRNA precursor, 308 nt
Filed under: Paramuricea clavata
Lineage: Eukaryota; Metazoa; Cnidaria; Anthozoa; Malacalcyonacea; Plexauridae
Source: RNAcentral